Molecule: long non-coding RNA, 1789 nt
Organism: Lutra lutra (Eurasian river otter)
Lineage: Eukaryota; Metazoa; Chordata; Mammalia; Carnivora; Mustelidae
Exons: 4
Source: RefSeq, a predicted model, not a curated record
UUUGGCGUCCACGCUCUAGGGAGAGAGGGCACAUCUAAUUGGGGAAAGCUCUGGCUGGCAGAGUUUGGGGGGGUGGACGGGCGAAGGGGUAGCCAAGUCUCUCGAGGAGGCCAGCAACGCGCGUGCGGGUCCAAUGCGGGUUCCCGACGCGAGACGCCCGGAAACCUGCUCCCCAGUGAGAACAAAGGCAGGCGCCCAGCGAGAACCUGAUUGGUGCCGGGUCCCCACCGGUGUCCUCCUGGCCCCGGAGACAACUUGCUUCACCCACUGGCGCGGAGCUCCGUGCUCACUGGAGCCCGAGCUCCCCACCCGCCCCUGGCUGUGACCACACAGGACUGUGCGUUAUGACAUCACCUGUUUUCGCUCUUCAGAACAUGAUCUGUAUUCUCAGCUUCUCCUUUUUUAAAGGUCUCUAGUGGGCCGGGAUUUGUGAAGGCCUGCGUUCCGCAGAAUGAAUCUGGAGAUGAUGUAAAAGAACUGUUUCACUGCCUGGAUAGCAUAAAGAGAAUAUGACUUAAGAGAGUGACUUGUGAAUCCUGGAUCACACUCUUAAGAGGGAAGAAAACAAAAAGCAGUUCUUUUGAUUUCACACAGGAUAAGGAGAAACUUCCUCCCUUUUGUUGUCUGACUCAAGUCUGGCCACAUGGCACAAUGGACGGCCCGUACAUUUGGAGAGACUCCAAGAAAUCCAUCCCAAGCACUGAAUGGUCCUGGCACUGUUCCAAAAUUUUACUAACUUUCCACAUAUUGUGAUUCCAGACACGUUUAUACCUUGGUCCCCAGGAUAAUGGAAGCCACAAAAGAGACAAAUUAAAAUGUCAGCCCAGCUGGGCCCACAUUGUGGGCCAGCAAUUACCAUGGAACCCCUUGCCUCUUAGAUCACCUGAGUGUAGCACAUCUGGGCUUCCUGUAAGAGGGAUAACGAAAUAAUCCAAAGUGAUUUCCUAGAUGUUCCCCAACUCAGUUUAAGUACGGUGUGCUUCUUAAUAACUGCUCAGAUUUCGAUAAGCAAUAGGAAAAAAUUUUAAAUAUCAGGCAAAAGUCAGAGAACAAAAUCCUGGGAAACUUUGUAACCCAACAACCCCUGCCAUCAUCCGGGACCUAACUAACUUGAAACACACGAUCGAGGCUGGAGAGGCAAGUAAAAUAGAGCAUCGGUGUUCUCCACCUGAGGGAAGAGUAUCAUUCAAACCUCACUGCAGAUUCUGACGGAAGGUAUGAAGGAAGGAAGCCAUGUCACUACAGAUGGAGCAAAGAAUGUCCACAGCAAAGGGCACAUCUGACAGGUCCUACCCCUUGUGGGAUCAUGAGACCCAGCCACAGAUAGGAGCUGCUCAUUUCAUCAAAGUAAUCUGCUGUUUUCUGUGCUCUGGAGGUGGUGACUUCAGUGUCCAUGAUGGGACGUCCGUGAGUGUUUGUUGGGUUUGAAACUGAGUGCUCCAAGCCAGCGGAUAGCAUUUCUUCUUCUGGUGGGCCAGGGAAACACUGAGAUUACUUCAGCAAGAAAUAACUUUCCUUCCAAUCUGUAUCAUCAAGAGGCAGCUGGUCAGGUUAGCAGAGAAAAUGGAUAGUCACGAAGAAGCUUGAUUAAACUUUGGCUUUAUCUUUUUGUAUCUUGAUACGAUCAUAUGGAGAUAGGUUAUUUCCUCACGCUACUUGCCACCUGCUCUGUGAUUUUUUUUGUCCUUCUUUGCCUGCUCUAUGAGAUUGUAAGCUUCAUGAGGACAGUUUUUCUCAUCAUUAUAUCCUCAAUACAAUAAAUUUUUUUUGAAGAAAUGAAUAAAGAAGG